GCAAAUGUUAGUUCAGACAGAAGAUGUUAAUUACAAAGCCUGAGAAGCCGAAUUCACCCUUAUCUUGUCAAGAUAGAGGGGACAAGGAUCAUCUCAGAGACUGCUGAAUCAUUCCUCAAAGGACUACGCAUGCCCAGGGAGAAAGGUGAAAAGUUCACUGGGAGGAUGACUACUGGCCUUCACCAGAAAUACCCCCGAGGAAGAGGAGAGGUCUUCCUCAGCGUGACCACCAGGACACACAGCUCAUGCGUGACCCAUAUGCUAAUGACUUCCGAGAAAUAAUUUGUAUAGUCACACCUGUCCCAAGGAAUGUGAUGAAUAUUCAUAAUUUAACCCUUAAUAUUGUGUUGUAGAGAGCACCAGGUGUGUGUGUUUGGAGGAGUGAUCCCCACACACCCGGAGCGCCGAAUAAAGCAAAUACCCACUUCUCUGACUCUGUCUCUGAAGUGUCUCCUGGCCCGGUUGUGGCAUGAUUCAAUGGGAUACACAUCAUAAAGUCACCCCA
This is a long non-coding RNA of Corvus hawaiiensis (hawaiian crow), 505 nucleotides long. RefSeq lists it as uncharacterized. Lineage: Eukaryota; Metazoa; Chordata; Aves; Passeriformes; Corvidae. The record is from RefSeq and is a predicted model, not a curated record. The transcript is spliced from 3 exons.